This 253-nucleotide ribosomal RNA is filed under the name uncultured bacterium. RNAcentral's name for it is "partial 16S ribosomal RNA". It matches the Rfam family "Bacterial small subunit ribosomal RNA", at positions 524 to 776 of the family's 1533-position model. The record is from RNAcentral.
UACGAAGGGGGCUAGCGUUGUUCGGAAUUACUGGGCGUAAAGGGCGCGUAGGCGGCCUGCUAAGUCGAACGUGAAAUCCCUGGGCUCAACCCAGGAACUGCGUCCGAUACUGGUUGGCUUGAAUCCGGGAGAGGGACGUGGAAUUCCAGGUGUAGCGGUGAAAUGCGUAGAUAUCUGGAGGAACACCGGUGGCGAAGGCGACGUCCUGGACCGGCAUUGACGCUGAGGCGCGAAAGCCAGGGGAGCAAACGGG